GGCGCCAUCGUCUAACGGUUAGGACACCGCCCUCUCAAGGCGGUAAUACGAGUUCGAUUCUCGUUGGCGCUACCA
RNAcentral lists this transfer RNA (75 nucleotides) under Acidobacteriota bacterium. RNAcentral describes it as "Acidobacteria bacterium (groundwater metagenome) tRNA-Glu". It matches the Rfam family "tRNA". Rfam says of the family: Transfer RNA (tRNA) molecules are approximately 80 nucleotides in length. Lineage: Bacteria; Pseudomonadati; Acidobacteriota. The record is from RNAcentral.